Molecule: ribosomal RNA, 269 nt
Filed under: uncultured bacterium
Lineage: Bacteria
Description: partial 16S ribosomal RNA
Rfam family: Bacterial small subunit ribosomal RNA
Source: RNAcentral
GUCCACGCGGUAAACGAUGACGACUAGGUGUGGGGGCGUUCAGUCCCUUCCGUGCCGCAGCUAACGCAUUAAGUCGUCCGCCUGGGGAGUACGGCCGCAAGGUUGAAACUCAAAGGAAUUGACGGGGGCCCGCACAAGCGGUGGAGCAUGUGGUUCAAUUCGAUGCAGAGCGAAGAACCUUACCUGGGCUUGACAUGCAGGAAGUAGGAACCCGAAAGGGGGACGACCCGUUGAAUCGGGAGCCUGCACAGGUGGUGCAUGGCUGUCGU